CGGAGGGUGCAAGCGUUAUCCGGAUUCACUGGGUUUAAAGGGUGCGUAGGUGGGUUGGUAAGUCAGUGGUGAAAUCUCCAGGCUUAACUUGGAAACUGCCAUUGAUACUAUCAAUCUUGAAUACCGUGGAGGUCAGCGGAAUAUGUCAUGUAGCGGUGAAAUGCUUAGAGAUGACAUAGAACACCAAUUGCGAAGGCAGCUGGCUACGCGGAUAUUGACACUGAUGCACGAAAAGCGUGGGGAUCAAACAGGAUUAGAUACCCUGGUAGUCCACGCCCUAAACGAUGGAUACUCGACAUACGCGAUAUACUGUGUGUGUCUGAGCGAAAGCAUUAAGUAUCCCACCUGGGAAGUACGAUCGCAAGAUUG
Molecule: ribosomal RNA, 369 nt
Filed under: uncultured organism
Description: bacterial SSU rRNA
Rfam family: Bacterial small subunit ribosomal RNA
Source: RNAcentral